AUUUUGAAAGUCUGAUAUUCAGUAUGGUGUGAUUUUAGGCUACUAAAACUAACAUGAAAAUCUUCUGACAUCUCAAUUUUAAUUUUAAUUCUGUGAUUUUACAGGGUGAGAAGAUAACAGAGGACAGUGUGGGAGUUAAUUUCCCUGAUGAGCUGUACAGACUUGCAAGAAAGUCACAGCCUGAGAGGAUCAUCUGGUUCAUAGCCCAGGUGCUGGACGAGGUGUCGCUCCUGCUGGACGAGAAUGUGACCGCCGUGGCCUGGGACCAGAAGAAGCUGAAGGACUUCAUGAGCACCCUGGACACACAACUGGUGGCAACUCAGUCAUGUGUUAGUAAGACUAAAGGGAAUAAGAGACUGCACCUGUAUUUCAAGAAACUGAGAAAUGAAACACUGGGGAAAAUGG
This is a long non-coding RNA of Alosa alosa (allis shad), 405 nucleotides long. RefSeq lists it as uncharacterized. The record is from RefSeq and is a predicted model, not a curated record. Lineage: Eukaryota; Metazoa; Chordata; Actinopteri; Clupeiformes; Clupeidae. The transcript has 3 exons.